Molecule: ribosomal RNA, 492 nt
Filed under: uncultured bacterium
Lineage: Bacteria
Description: partial 16S ribosomal RNA
Rfam family: Bacterial small subunit ribosomal RNA
Source: RNAcentral
AGUGAACGCUGGCGGUAGGCCUAACACAUGCAAGUCGAACGGCAGCACAGUAAGAGCUUGCUCUUACGGGUGGCGAGUGGCGGACGGGUGAGGAAUACAUCGGAAUCUACUUUUUCGUGGGGGAUAACGUAGGGAAACUUACGCUAAUACCGCAUACGACCUACGGGUGAAAGCAGGGGAUCUUCGGACCUUGCGCGAUUGAAUGAGCCGAUGUCGGAUUAGCUAGUUGGCGGGGUAAAGGCCCACCAAGGCGACGAUCCGUAGCUGGUCUGAGAGGAUGACCAGCCACACUGGAACUGAGACACGGUCCAGACUCCUACGGGAGGCAGCAGUGGGGAAUAUUGGACAAUGGGCGCAAGCCUGAUCCAGCCAUACCGCGUGGGUGAAGAAGGCCUUCGGGUUGUAAAGCCCUUUUGUUGGGAAAGAAAAGCAGCAGGUUAAUACCCCGCUGUUCUGACGGUACCCAAAGAAUAGGCACCGGCUAACUUCGUG